RNAcentral lists this ribosomal RNA (446 nucleotides) under uncultured bacterium. RNAcentral's name for it is "bacterial SSU rRNA". It matches the Rfam family "Bacterial small subunit ribosomal RNA", at positions 329 to 792 of the family's 1533-position model. The record is from RNAcentral.
GGCCAGACUCCUACGGGAGGCAGCAGUCGGGAAUAUUGCGCAAUGGAGGAAACUCUGACGCAGUGACGCCGCGUGCAGGAAGAAGGUUUUCGGAUUGUAAACUGCUUUAGACAGGGAAGAAAAAAGACAGUACCUGUAGAAUAAGCUCCGACUAACUACGUGCCAGCAGCCGCGGUAAUACGGAGGAUGCGAGCGUUAUCCGGAUUUAUUGGGUUUAAAGGGUGCGUAGGCGGGCUGUUAAGUCAGCGGUCAAAUGUCGGGGCUCAACCCCGGCCUGCCGUUGAAACUGGCGGCCUCGAGUGGGCGAGAAGUAUGCGGAAUGCGUGGUGUAGCGGUGAAAUGCAUAGAUAUCACGCAGAACUCCGAUUGCGAAGGCAGCAUACCGGCGCCCGACUGACGCUGAGGCACGAAAGCGUGGGUAUCGAACAGGAUUAGAUACCCGAGUA